This 414-nucleotide ribosomal RNA is filed under the name uncultured microorganism. Its description in RNAcentral is "bacterial SSU rRNA". It matches the Rfam family "Archaeal small subunit ribosomal RNA", at positions 459 to 872 of the family's 1478-position model. The record is from RNAcentral.
CAGCCGCCGCGGUAAUACCGGCGGCCCGAGUGGCGGCCACUAUUAUUGGGCUUAAAGCGUCCGUAGCCGGGUUGGUUAGUCUCCCGGGAAAUCUGGCCGCUUAACGGUCAGAAUUCCGGGAGAUACUGCCAGCCUAGGGACCGGGAGAGGCCGAGGGUAUUCCCGGAGUAGGGGUGAAAUCCUAUAAUCCCGGGAGGACCACCUGUGGCGAAGGCGCUCGGCUGGAACGGGUCCGACGGUGAGGGACGAAGGCCAGGGGAGCAAACCGGAUUAGAUACCCGGGUAGUCCUGGCUGUAAACGAUGCGGACUUUGUGUCGGACAAGCUAUGAGCUUGUCCGGUGCCGGAGGGAAACCGUUAAGUCCGCCGCCUGGGGAGUACGGCCGCAAGGCUGAAACUUAAAGGAGUUGGCGGG